UGAACGCUGGCGGUAUGCUUAACACAUGCAAGUCGUACGAAGACCUUCGGUCUUAGUGGCGGACGGGUGAGUAACACGUGAGAAUCUGCCCUUAGGAAGAGAAUAACAAUUGGAAACGGUUGCUAAUACUCUAUAUGCCGAGAGGUAAAAGGAUCUAUCCACCUUAGGAAGAGCUCGCGUCUGAUUAGCUAGUUGGUAAGGUAAUGGCUUACCAAGGCGACGAUCAGUAGCUGGUCUGAGAGGAUGAUCAGCCACACUGGGACUGAGACACGGCCCAGACUCCUACGGGAGGCAGCAGUGGGGGAAUAUUGGACAAUGGGGGCAACCCUGAUCCAGCUAUGCCGCGUGCAGGAAGAAGGUCCUAUGGAUUGUAAACUGCUUUUAUUUGGGAAUAAACCUCUGGUCGUGCACCGGAGCUGAAGGUACCAAAUGAAUAAGCACCGGCUAACUCCGUGCCAGCAG
RNAcentral lists this ribosomal RNA (462 nucleotides) under uncultured bacterium. RNAcentral's name for it is "bacterial SSU rRNA". It matches the Rfam family "Bacterial small subunit ribosomal RNA", at positions 30 to 514 of the family's 1533-position model. The record is from RNAcentral.